CCUAGAGUUGUAGGCUUUGCCUGCUAUCUCUUACCCAUGUCUUUUGAGUACCUUCGUUUCCUCGGCGGGUCCGCCCGCCGAUUGGACAAUUUAAACCAUUUGCAGUUGCAAUCAGCGUCUGUAAAAACUUAAUAGUUA
This 138-nucleotide unclassified non-coding RNA is filed under the name soil metagenome. Its description in RNAcentral is "partial internal transcribed spacer 1". The record is from RNAcentral.